AGGUGGGGAAAUAUUUUCUUCAGCUACAUUUUUAAUACAAUCCAUCAAACCCUAAUCUACAAAUCUGCAGUGAAAUAGAAAGAUUAGAUGAUAAAAAUUAAUGCGACCCAAAACCCCUAUAAAACACGACGAAAUCUCAAAAAGAAAACCCUAGAAUAACAGUUUAGAUCAUACACCAAGUAAACAAACCUAGAAUGGAAAUAAAUGCAAAUGUAUAUCUUUGUGGUUUUGUUUACCCGAGAAAUAAACAACGGCGGAGCAAGAGACUCGACCGGCGAGAAAUCCUCUUCUUCUUGAGGCAAGAUAGGAAUUAGGAAGGAAGAGAAAGAAUCUUCAAUAUUUGGACGCCGACCGAGUGGGGGGGGGAGAACUCUAACUUUAAAAUAUUUUAAUUUUUUUUUUUUUUUUUUUUGAAUGGCGAUUUUGAUUAAACAGAAAAUUAAAAAGAUUACAAGUCAAUUAACUAAACAACUAAAAGUAGAUAAGAUAAAUGGAAUAGAUGUGGCGUGCUAAUCCUCGGCUUGAAGGUCAAAAACCAAUAGCGAGGUUUCCUCCUAUCUUCUGGUAGUUGUAUCUGUCGCUCGUCGGAUAUGGAAAACUGUUGCUCGCGAAAUGAUCUCAUUCGCGGUCACUGAAAGGCGUGGAGCCGAGGUCUCACUCGAGGUCCUUCGAUCAAGUUAAAAAAGAGGUUAGGGAGUAGAUUUGAACUGGAAGCUAGGCGUGGAGUGCUGCUGAUCUGAGAUGACCUCGCUCGCUCCCCAUUUCUCGCUAUCGCAUGCUCGCUCUCUUCCAAUCCCUCUUUCUCGGUCGAUCGCCGCCCUAUCGCCGCCAGGGCUCGCUCGCGGUCAGUGGCCGGACUUCAACUCGCGCGUUGGCAUGGUUCGCUCACUUGCUGGCACCGGACUUCCGACCGGG
RNAcentral lists this long non-coding RNA (915 nucleotides) under Zostera marina. Its description in RNAcentral is "long non-coding RNA (ZMAR_LNC000400)". The record is from RNAcentral. Lineage: Eukaryota; Viridiplantae; Streptophyta; Magnoliopsida; Alismatales; Zosteraceae.